Felis catus (domestic cat) is the source of this 459-nucleotide long non-coding RNA. RefSeq lists it as uncharacterized. The transcript is spliced from 4 exons. NCBI's taxonomy places the organism in Eukaryota, Metazoa, Chordata, Mammalia, Carnivora, Felidae. The record is from RefSeq and is a predicted model, not a curated record.
CAGGCCUCCUGAUGAAGCUUCUCAGCGAGCAGCGAGAAGUAAAGGUGUCCAAGGCAGAGUGGGAUACGGACCAAUGGGAAAAUGCGAAUUAUAUCAAUGAGAGCACAGAAGUCCAGAGUGAACAGAGAGGGCAGGAGUCAAGGGAGCUCACAAAAGUUCCAGGCUAUGGCUAUACCAACAAACUCAUCUUGGCAAUAUCUGUGACUGGUAGUAGUUUGUGACGGUUUUGAUCCUAGUUUUCUGUCUCAUUGAGAGUUGUUAUCAUAGAGCAGCAGCCAAGGAAGGUAAAGAAGGAAGCUCAAGCCAGGAAAUCACCAAAGGCAGAAAGGAUACAUAUUUGGCCUAAUGCUUUGCCUGGAUCCAGCAAAGUUAGCUGCCCAGCCAAACCCGAGUUAGAAUGGGGCUGGCACAGAGCACCUGCUCACUAGACCUUUAAAGAAAGAUCUUGGGGGGGGGGGG